Molecule: non-coding RNA, 182 nt
Organism: Marmota flaviventris (yellow-bellied marmot)
Lineage: Eukaryota; Metazoa; Chordata; Mammalia; Rodentia; Sciuridae
Source: RefSeq, a predicted model, not a curated record
AUCGCUUCUCGGCCUUUUGGCUAAGAUCAAGUGUAAAAUUAAAGUGUCUAAUAUGGUGUAGACAUCAAUUUUUGAAAACUUUUUUUUUAAUAUAUCUCGGGUUAUAUAUAAAGUAUGUUGACACCAAUUCGUGUCUUCAUACAUGUACUUUGGAUAAUGAUGUCCAUCAUAUGCUACCAUCU